AGAGUUUGAUCAUGGCUCAGAACGAACGCUGGCGGCAUGCUUAACACAUGCAAGUCGAACGGCACCUUCGGGUGCAGUGGCGCACGGGUGAGUAGCGCGUGGGAACCUGCCCUCUUGUGGGGGAUAACCGAUGGAACGUCGGCUAAUACCGCAUGCGCCCGGGGGAGACCUCGGGGAAAGAUUUAUCGCAGGAGGAGGGG
RNAcentral lists this ribosomal RNA (200 nucleotides) under uncultured bacterium. Its description in RNAcentral is "partial 16S ribosomal RNA". It matches the Rfam family "Bacterial small subunit ribosomal RNA", at positions 8 to 229 of the family's 1533-position model. The record is from RNAcentral.